GACGAACGCUGGCGGCGUGCUUAACACAUGCCAGUCGAACGGAAAGGCCCUGCGUUUGUGGGGUUCUCGAGUGGCGAACGGGUGAGUAACACGUGAGUAACCUGCCCUUGACUUUGGGAGAACUUCAGGAAACUGGGGCUAAUACCGGAUAGGAGCUCCUGCUGCAGGGUGGGGGGUGGAAAGUUUCGGCGGUUGGGGAUGGACUCGCGGCUUAUCAGCUUGUUGGUGGGGUAGUGGCUUACCAAGGCUUGGACGGGUAGCCGGCCUGAGAGGGUGACCGGCCACAUUGGGACUGAGAUACGGCCCAGACUCCUACGGGAGGCAGCAGUGGGGAAUAUUGCACAAUGGGCGGAAGCCUGAUGCAGCAACGCCGCGUGCGGGAUGACGGCCUUCGGGUUGUAAACCGCUUUCGCCUGUGACGAAGCGUGAGUGACGGUAAUGGGUAAAGAAGCACCGGCUAACUACGUG
Molecule: ribosomal RNA, 468 nt
Filed under: uncultured bacterium
Lineage: Bacteria
Description: partial 16S ribosomal RNA
Rfam family: Bacterial small subunit ribosomal RNA
Source: RNAcentral